GAUGAACGCUGGCGGCGAGCUUAACACAUGCAAGUCGAACGGAACGGCCCUGCCUUCGAGGGGUGCUCGAGUGGCGAAGGGGUGAGUCACACGAGUGUAACCUGCCCUUGCUUUAGGGAUACCUUCAGGAAACUGGGGCUAAAACCGAAACGGAGCUACUCCUGCCUGGAGGGGGGUGGAAAGUUUCGGUGGUUGGGGAUGGACUCGCGGCUUAUCAGCUUGUUGGUGGGGUAGUGGCUUACCAAGGCUUUGACGGGUAGCCGGCCUGAGAGGGUGACCGGCCACAUUGGGACUGUGAUACGUCCCACCCUCCUACGGGAUGCUGCGGUGUAGAAUUUUAUACUAUGGGAGGAUGCCUGUAGCAGCAACGUCGCGUGUGGUAUGACGGCCUUCGAGUUGUAAACCGCUUUAGCCUGAGACGUUGUUAGAGUGACGUUUAAAAGAAAUGAUGCACCGGCUAACUUCAUU
RNAcentral lists this ribosomal RNA (468 nucleotides) under uncultured bacterium. RNAcentral's name for it is "partial 16S ribosomal RNA". It matches the Rfam family "Bacterial small subunit ribosomal RNA", at positions 28 to 507 of the family's 1533-position model. The record is from RNAcentral.